GCGGUCAUGGCGGAACUGGCAGACGCGCACGUUUGAGGGGCGUGUGGGCAACCAUCCGGGUUCAAGUCCCGGUGACCGCACCA
RNAcentral lists this transfer RNA (83 nucleotides) under Eubacteriales bacterium OttesenSCG-928-K08. RNAcentral's name for it is "tRNA-Leu". It matches the Rfam family "tRNA". Rfam says of the family: Transfer RNA (tRNA) molecules are approximately 80 nucleotides in length. The record is from RNAcentral. RNAcentral also lists the same sequence under 1 other name. Lineage: Bacteria; Bacillati; Bacillota; Clostridia; Eubacteriales.